RNAcentral lists this ribosomal RNA (397 nucleotides) under uncultured bacterium. Its description in RNAcentral is "partial 16S ribosomal RNA". It matches the Rfam family "Bacterial small subunit ribosomal RNA", at positions 338 to 732 of the family's 1533-position model. The record is from RNAcentral.
CCUACGGGCGGCUGCAGUGAGGAAUAUUGGUCAAUGGUCGGGAGACUGAACCAGCCAAGCCGCGUGAGGGAUGAAGGUUCUUCGGAUUGUAAACCUCUGUUAUGAGGGAACAAAGGCGGGGACGUGUCCCCGGAUGAGUGUACCUGAAGAACAAGCAUCGGCUAACUCCGUGCCAGCAGCCGCGGUAAUACGGAGGAUGCGAGCGUUAUCCGGAUUUAUUGGGUUUAAAGGGGGCGCAGGGGGUUUGUUAAGUCAGCGGUGAAAGCCGGGGGCUCAACCCCCGGACCGCGUUUGAAACUGGCAGUCUCGAGUUGGAGAGAAGUAUGCGGAAUGCGCGGUGUAGCGGUGAAAUGCAUAGAUAUCGCGCAGAACUCCGAUUGCGAAGGCAGCAUGCCGG